UCCGGUUUAGACCGGCGGUCUCCCUAGACAUUUUAACUAAGGACAAGGGUUGCGCUCGUUGCGGGACUUAACCCAACAUCUCACGACACGAGCUGACGACAGCCAUGCACCACCUGUGCACAAGCCCCGAAGGGCUGCCGUGUUUCCACGACAUUCCUGUGCAUGUCAAGCCCUGGUAAGGUUCUUCGCGUCGCGUCGAAUUAAACAACAUGCUCCACCGCUUGUGCGGGCCCCCGUCAAUUCCUUUGAGUUUCAGCCUUGCGGCCGUACUCCCCAGGCGGGGCACUUACUGCGUUAGCGACGGCACCGGGAGGGUCGCUCCCCCCGACGCCUAGUGCCCAUCGUUUACGGCGUGGACUAC
RNAcentral lists this unclassified non-coding RNA (361 nucleotides) under uncultured bacterium. RNAcentral describes it as "contains 16S-23S intergenic spacer region". The record is from RNAcentral.